GAGGCUUUAGCUUAAUUAAAGUAUCUGUUUUGCAUGCAGGAGAUGCGGGGGUAGAGUCCCGUAAGUCUUA
This 70-nucleotide transfer RNA is filed under the name Lobianchia gemellarii. Its description in RNAcentral is "tRNA-Ala". It matches the Rfam family "tRNA". From Rfam's summary of the family: Transfer RNA (tRNA) molecules are approximately 80 nucleotides in length. Lineage: Eukaryota; Metazoa; Chordata; Actinopteri; Myctophiformes; Myctophidae. The record is from RNAcentral.